UACGAAGGGGGCUAGCGUUGUUCGGAAUUACUGGGCGUAAAGCGCACGUAGGCGGAUACUUAAGUCAGGGGUGAAAUCCCGGGGCUCAACCCCGGAACUGCCUUUGAUACUGGGUAUCUCGAGUCCGGAAGAGGUGAGUGGAAUUCCGAGUGUAGGGGUGAAAUUCGUAGAUAUUCGGAGGAACACCAGUGGCGAAGGCGGCUCACUGGUCCGGUACUGACGCUGAGGUGCGAAAGCGUGGGGAGCAAACAGG
Molecule: ribosomal RNA, 253 nt
Filed under: uncultured bacterium
Lineage: Bacteria
Description: partial 16S ribosomal RNA
Rfam family: Bacterial small subunit ribosomal RNA
Source: RNAcentral